This 567-nucleotide ribosomal RNA is filed under the name uncultured archaeon. RNAcentral describes it as "bacterial SSU rRNA". It matches the Rfam family "Archaeal small subunit ribosomal RNA", at positions 327 to 900 of the family's 1478-position model. The record is from RNAcentral.
GGGGUGCAGCAGGCGCGAAAACUUUACAAUGCUGGCAACAGCGAUAAGGGGACCUCGAGUGCCAGGAUACAAUCUUGGCUGUCGCGAUGCCUAAAAAGCAUUGCAUAGCAAGGGCCGGGCAAGACCGGUGCCAGCCGCCGCGGUAACACCGGCGGCUCGAGUGGUAACCGCUAUUAUUGGGUCUAAAGGGUCUGUAGCCGGCCGGAUAAGUCUUUUGGGAAAUCCAGUUGCUCAACAGUUGGGCUUUCAGAAGAUACUGUUCGGCUCGAGACCGGGAGAGGUGAGAGGUACUUCAGGGGUAGGGGUGAAAUCUUGUAAUCCUUGAAGGACCACCAGUGGCGAAGGCGUCUCACCAGAACGGAUCUGACGGCAAGGGACGAAAGCUAGGGGCACGAACCGGAUUAGAUACCCGGGUAGUCCUAGCCGUAAACGAUACUCGCUAGGUGUCAGCCACGGUGCGACCGUGGUUGGUGCCGUAGGGAAGCCGUGAAGCGAGCCACCUGGGAAGUACGGCCGCAAGGCGGAAACUUAAAGGAAUUGGCGGGGGAGCACAAGGGCGAUUCGCGG